GGCAUAACAAGUGUGUAGACCUCUAUAGACUGUGACUCCAUCUGGUGGCUUAACAUUUUCAACUAAGAGAGGGUAUUCUGCCGUCCAUGCCAUGCAGAGGGACCUAUUAAAGUCAUAUUGGUAGGCAAAAAGGCUUAAGAAGCAAUCUUCUAUCUCUAAAGGGAGAGUUAGGGGGACGGUGCCAAGGUGGGGUCGGGCACCGCCACAUACAUAAAAUGCUGUUUUAUUAUGUUUGUUGGCAUUAUACCUCAUCCAUUCUAACCACAAAUUAAUGUCAUUGAAUCCAGUUUCAGCGGCCAUGGUAUCUUCAAAAGUGGGGUUAGCGAUGGCCAUCAUAUCUUUAAAGGACUGGAUAUGUGGUUUUAGCAGAUUUGGGACCAUAUGAUCAGCCCCUUGCCACUCUGGAGAGUGGUACAUAUCUCUGAGGUAGAAAUGACCUAAUUUGUUGUAGGAACCUUUCUUCCAAUACAUUCCUAUUACAUAUCGGUCUGCAUCCUCGGGGCCAGGAUGUUCAAUAUUUAACAUUAAUUUCAUAGGGGUACUUCCUCCAGGCUUUCUUAAAGUCAUUCUUUGAAGGAGGGAUCUACCCCGAUUGUCUAUCUUAGAUAAAGCACUUUUGGGUUUAUAACCCCAGGCAGGCCCAGUAUUCCAUCCCGCAGCCCCCCAGUAGUUACAGUCAUAACCCCAUUGUUCAUCUACUACACAAACGUAUGGGUCUUUUGCUUGUGGUAUAUCUUUAUAAAUGGCUUGAAUCUGUGACUUAGGGAAUGGGCACUCUACAAUAUCACAGUAAUCAAAAGUGAAUGUAGCCACAUGGGUACAUGAUGAAUUAUACCAGAAAGUGUACCCACUAGCAUCUUUGGUGAUGGCCACCUGCUGGGCUUUAAGGAGGCCAACUAAGGAGAUAAUGUACCAGAGGCACAUGGUUGCAUAGAGUUAGCUUCCUCUGGGGCAGGUGUCUUCUUGCAGUGGGAAGCGUUGAUCCAGUUAGGCCUUCCGGCCAAUUUGACAGAGGUAGGGGAGAUCAGGAGAACUUGGAACGGUCCGUCAAAUCUUGGUUCCAGGGUGUGUUUUCGCACAAAUUUCUUGACCAGAACCCAGUCACCGGGGAGCAGACUGUCUUUGCCUGUGUCAGAAUCAGGAUCUGGAAUUUUAGAGAAAACUUGGACAUGGAUUUUGUUCAAAGCAUUUGCGAGUUCAGUUACAUAAUCUACUAAAACAUCAGUUUGAAGUUGUAGUUGUUGGGGAAAAUAGCAACCUAGCCUAGGUGCAGUCCCAAAUAGAAUCUCGUAUGGGGACAAUGAGGUAGUAUUUUUGUACAAGAGCAUUCAUUAGAUCUUUUGAUAAAUGUGCAGGUCUGUGUGCCCAUUGUACGACUGCUGGGUACAAACUCUUAGGGAGGCAGAAAUUGAGGUUGUUGGAGUACACUCCAUCCUUCAGAACUGCCCCUUUCUGUUUCCACUUCUGUAUUUCUUCAGGGGCAACUGUAGCCUGUUGUUCCAGCAGGAUUUUCAGGUCAGUUGGAAGAGUCUGCAGAGUAAAUAUGGGAGUUUCUUCAUUUCCGGACACUCUUCUUUCCACUUCCUGUGGUUCUUUUGCAGCUUGUUUUGCAGCCUGAUCAGCUAGAUGGUUGCCCCUUGCUUCAUCUGAGUCCAACUUCCCAUGUGCUUUAUCUUCAAAAUAGCCACUUCUUCUGGGAGUAGGAGGGCGUCCAUCAGCUCCUUGAUUGCGGAACCGUGCUUGAUUGGUGUACCGGCGGUGGUAAGAAAUCCUCUUGUUUUCCAAAUUAAUCCGAAGUCGUAAGCCACGCCCAGUGCAUAUCUUGAAUCCGUGUAGAUAUUGGCGCGCUUUCCUUCAGAGAUCUUGCAUGCUGAAGUCAGGGCUUGCAAUUCAGCUUCUUGUGCAGACAUAGUUGAUGGUAAAGAUGAUGAUUUGAUAAUUUCAUCUGUUGUGGUUACGGCAUAUCCUGUAUGGUAUCUUCCUUCUUCAUCAGCAUAUCUUGAGCCGCCCACAAACAGGGUGAGAUCGGGAUCUACCAAUGGGUCUUCAUGCACAGUUGGUAGAUGUGUUGUUUCCAUUUUCAUCUGUUCAAAACAGUCAUGAGGUGUAUCUGGGUCGUAUUCAUUCACUAUGGUUAAAUCUUGGAACUCAUUCUCCAGGAAAUGACGCGGCCAUGCUUUUAGGUGGUCAGUUGUUGGAUAUUUGACAACACCAUUUUCCUGUAGCUGUGAUUCGUCCAUAGUGGCCCAUGCUUUUGCCAUAGGCCCAAGAUCAUUCCAUGAUAUUGUUUUCAACUUGGUCACAGGGACAUGUGGAAUGGCAGUGUCCCAAUGACGGUACAAAUGCUUGAGUUCCGGAGGUAGAUGAAUCAAGACCAUACUGUUGCCUUCAGAAUCACAGUAGAAGUCUUGUGCAGUGAGUUUUACUUCAACCAGCUUAUAGAGUUCAUCUUCAUAGCAGGGUUCAGGAGUGAUGUUUGGUUUGUACCACAUGGUACAGAAGGCAUGUCCUGCUCCGUCAUGAAGGAGUGCUUGUCCAUCAUAAAAGGAUAGGUUGGGAUGCAUUUCCUUCUUGAUGGUGCCAGUGAGAAGAGAAACAUACAUUUCGUCCAUGAUGAAUCCGUAGUAUACACCCCCCUCAGGGAGUGGCAGAAGAGUGGACGGAUUGAGAACUUGACAUCUUUGGAGGGUAAUGUUGUCAGGCAACAAAAGAUGACAUUGAAGGCGAAGAUGCCUGGCAGGAGUAACAUGCUUAAGCUGGACCUGGUUGACUAUGGCAGAAAUGUCAUGAGGGGCCAAGACAACCAGGGGUGGCCAAGGACAAGAUCUCCAGUUCUUUCAAUGAGCUCUCUGGCAGCAAAGACGGCCCGAAGGCAAGAGGGACGUCCUCUGGCCACAAUAUCCAGUUGGCAGGAGAAAAAUCCAAUAGGCCUUUGGCGGCCUCCAGGACCAUGAGCCUGAGUGAGUACUCCUGUUGCAUGGCCUUGUCUUUCAGAAACAAACAAUUUGAAGAAACAAACAAUUUGAAGGGUUUGGUAUAGUCUGGUAGGCCAAGAGCAGGAGCAGAAGCAAUAGCACGUUUGAGAGAACAGAAGUUGUCAAGGGCUUCUGUGGACAAGCAAAAUGGGUCUGACUUGAGAGCAUCAUAAAGAGGUUGCAUAAGGAGCGAGGCUUCUGGGAUCCAUGCUCGGCAAUAGGAAAUGAGGCCUAGGAAGGCGUGUAGUGACUUCGAGGUCCUUGGAGGUGGAAUGUCCAGUACCGCUCUAACUCGGUCACGGGUAAGAUGUCUGGUUCCCUGAGACAGACAAUGGCCAAGGAAAAGAACAGUAGGUUGGCAGAAUUGCAGCUUGAGACGUGAAGCUUUACAUCCCUGUUCUGCUAGGUAGCAAAGAAGAUUAAGUGAGCAUUGUUCUGUUGUGGGUAUAUCAUCUCCACAAAGCAGCAAAUCAUCCACAUAUUGAAGCAGGACGACCUCAGGAUGGUCAGAUUGCCAUGGAUCAAGGAUAGAGCACAUGGCCUUCGCAAAUUGACUUGGUGAAUUUUGUGCCCCUUGGGGCAUGACAGUCCAUGUGUACUGUUGUUUGUCAUGUGUGAAAGCAAACAGAUAUUGGCAAGUUGGAUCCAGGGGAACACUGAAGAAGGCAUUGGCUAGAUCAAUUACAGUGAAGUACUUGGCAGAGGGUGGAACGCCGGAAAGGAGUGUGUGUGGGUUGGGCACUAUUGGAGUGUCCAAAACUGUGGCUUCAUUUACCGCUCUGAGGUCUUGGACCAAUCUGUACUUUUCUGGUUCGCCUUUUGGAGUCUUUUUCUUUACUGGAAAUAAUGGAGUAUUGCAUGGUGAUUCACAUUUGACAAGAGCACCCUUCUCCAGGAGUGCUUGAAUUUGAAUUGUAAUGGCUGCAGCUUGAGCUGCUUUCAAAGGAUACUGUGAUUUUCGUGGCAAUUUUACGCCUGGGAUGAGCUUUACCACCACAGGCGGGACCUUUAGAUGGCCCAUGUCCUCUGGGCCUGUGGACCACAGCUUCUUGGGAACAUCAGUCUUUAGUGAAUCAGGGAAAUUAGUCCUUAGGUCUUUUGCAUCCCCAUGAGGCUCUUCUAGAUGUAGCAUCAGGGGUAAGGAGCACAAAGCUGAGGUGUCUGAGACAGAUAGAGGGGUGGAUAGUUCCACUUGUCCAUCUGGAGUAAAGGUGAUGGAUGCCUGCAGGCGUGAAAGAACAUCAGCUCCUAACAGGUUAAUGGGGCAUGUGGAAGAUACCACAAAGCGAGCAAGCAAGUUGUGGCAGUUACCAACCCGCAGUGGGGUGGACAGGGGACUUUGCCUUGGAAGGCCGUCCACCCCAACACAGGAGACAUCAAUAUUGGAAAGAAAUGAGGUAUCGGGCAGGUCUUGUUCUCUCAGAACACUUCGGGCUGCACCUGUGUCAACUAGGAAAGUGGUGGGCUGGCCCUCAAUGGGUAAAAUUACAGUAGCUAGAGGCCCCCCCUGUUCCCCUGAAGACACUGCCAUGGCAGGGGCAUUAAGCAUCAGCGGGUUUGCUCUCCUCAGUAUGGGCUGUGUUACUGACUCAAACCCCUUUUGUAUGUCAUUAGCCAUAGCUUUUUGCAGUCUGAAC
Molecule: non-coding RNA, 4612 nt
Organism: Pelobates cultripes (western spadefoot toad)
Lineage: Eukaryota; Metazoa; Chordata; Amphibia; Anura; Pelobatidae
Source: the annotation of a GenBank genome assembly